This 162-nucleotide small nuclear RNA is filed under the name Macaca nemestrina (pig-tailed macaque). RNAcentral's name for it is "U1 spliceosomal RNA (ENSMNEG00000021991.1)". It matches the Rfam family "U1 spliceosomal RNA". From Rfam's summary of the family: U1 is a small nuclear RNA (snRNA) component of the spliceosome (involved in pre-mRNA splicing). Its 5' end forms complementary base pairs with the 5' splice junction, thus defining the 5' donor site of an intron. The record is from RNAcentral. Lineage: Eukaryota; Metazoa; Chordata; Mammalia; Primates; Cercopithecidae.
AAACUUUCCUGGCAGGGGAGAUACAUUAUCCUGAAGGUGGUUUUCCUUAGGGCGAGGUUUUCUGGCAAUUCAUUGCACUUCGAACGUGCCGAUCCGCGAUGUCCCCAAUGUGGCAAACUCACUGCGUAAUUUGUGGGUAGUGGAACUGGUUCGGCGCUCUAC